This is a non-coding RNA of Pan troglodytes (chimpanzee), 280 nucleotides long. It matches the Rfam family "Metazoan signal recognition particle RNA". From Rfam's summary of the family: The signal recognition particle (SRP) is a universally conserved ribonucleoprotein. It is involved in the co-translational targeting of proteins to membranes. The record is from Rfam. Lineage: Eukaryota; Metazoa; Chordata; Mammalia; Primates; Hominidae.
GCCUGUGGUCCCAGGUACCUGGAGGCUGAGGCAGGAGGACUGUUUAAGUCCAGAAGUUCUGAGUUAUAGUGCGCUAUGCCAAUUGGGUAUCCACACUAAGUUUGGCAUCAGUAUAGUGACCUUCUGAGAGCAAGAGACCACACCAGGUUGCCUAAGGAGAGGUGAACUGCCCAGAUUGGAAACAGAGCAGGUAAAAACUCUUGUGUUGAUAAGUAGUGGUACUGUGCCUGUGAAUAACACUGCACUCCAGCCUGGGCAACAUAGCAAGACACUAUCUCUU